GUUUCUAAACAGUUUGAAUGAAUCUUUCUCGACCAUCAAGUCUCAAAUUACCUUUAUAGACCCUAUACUUAUAGUAGACAAAGUUUAUAGCAUGGUCCUUAGAGAAGAGGCACAAAGAAACAUGUUCCUUCAAUCUCAACCUUUUCUUGAAUCCUCAGCAAUGCUUGUAACCACAAAUGUUAAGAAGAAACCAAGAAAGGACUUGACAUAUUCUCACUAUGGUAAAAAGAGCCCUGUAAAAAAGAAAUGUUACAAGCUAAUUAGUUUUCCAAAAGAUUUCAAGUUGAUUAAAAGGAAGCCAUAUGUUAAGAAAGGAGCAGUUGUGAAUAAUGUUUGUGCAGUUACUAAGUAGCAGAUAGAUGACACUCAAGCUAAUCAUGUGGGGGAGGAAGGAAGUUCUAAUUCUAUGUCUCAAAUGUCUAUGUUUAAGCAGCAGGUUAAUAGGUUAAUGGAUCUUUUAAACGAGAAUGGUUUGAUCAGCAAUGAUGGUAAGAGUAUCCUGAAAAACACUCAACCCAGCAAACAUUCAUUUGUCAAUUUUGCCUUUGCAGGUAUAGUAUCUGAUCUUCCUUAUUUUAACACACACAACAACUUGCCAAAUGCAUUCAAGCAUGUUAACACUGUCAUGAUUAAACAAGGAUAUUGGAUCAUGGACUCAGGUGCAAUUGAUCAUAUAGCUUAUUCCUUAGACAAUUCCAUCCAAGUUAAUCUAGUAGAAAAUUAUUUUGUUCAAUUACCUAAUGAUAGGAAAACAUUAGUUUCUCAUGUAAGGUUAGUCAGAAUAUGCUCUUCAUUGGUCCUAUAUGAUGUCCUCUAUGUCUCAAGUUUUAAAUUCAAUCUGAUUUUAGUAGGAAAACUUACCUGCACCAAGAAAAAUUGUGUACUAUUCAUUGACUCACAUUGUAUUGUUCAGGACAUUUUUUCUUGGAUAGUGAUUGGGGUUGCUAGGGCAUCUUCAGGGUUAUAUCUGAUGCAAAAUAGAAAAGAUGAUAAAGACAUAUCAAAAUUUUAUUUUGAUAAAGUUGUAAAGUUUCCC
This 1036-nucleotide long non-coding RNA is filed under the name Theobroma cacao (cacao). Its description in RNAcentral is "long non-coding RNA (TCAC_LNC001331)". The record is from RNAcentral. Lineage: Eukaryota; Viridiplantae; Streptophyta; Magnoliopsida; Malvales; Malvaceae.